GUCUACAGCCAUGCCACCCUGAACAAGCCCAAUGUCUGAUCUCAGAAGCUAAGCAGAGUUGGGCCUGGUUAGAGACCACCUAGGAAGACCAGGUGCUGCAGGCA
Molecule: ribosomal RNA, 104 nt
Filed under: Pteropus alecto (black flying fox)
Lineage: Eukaryota; Metazoa; Chordata; Mammalia; Chiroptera; Pteropodidae
Source: RNAcentral